Molecule: ribosomal RNA, 90 nt
Filed under: Halomonas dongshanensis
Lineage: Bacteria; Pseudomonadati; Pseudomonadota; Gammaproteobacteria; Oceanospirillales; Halomonadaceae
Description: partial 16S ribosomal RNA
Rfam family: Bacterial small subunit ribosomal RNA
Source: RNAcentral
AAACUGAAGAGUUUGAUCAUGGCUCAGAUUGAACGCUGGCGGCAGGCCUAACACAUGCAAGUCGAGCGGCAGCACGGAAAGCUUGCUUUC